GGAGAGAUGCCGGAGUGGUCGAACGGGGCGGUCUCGAAAACCGUUGUGGGGGCAACCCCACCGAGGGUUCGAAUCCCUCUCUCUCCGCCA
This 90-nucleotide transfer RNA is filed under the name Paracoccaceae bacterium. RNAcentral describes it as "Rhodobacteraceae bacterium (activated sludge metagenome) tRNA-Ser". It matches the Rfam family "tRNA". Rfam says of the family: Transfer RNA (tRNA) molecules are approximately 80 nucleotides in length. Their secondary structure includes four short double-helical elements and three loops (D, anti-codon, and T loops). RNAcentral also lists the same sequence under 2 other names. Lineage: Bacteria; Pseudomonadati; Pseudomonadota; Alphaproteobacteria; Rhodobacterales; Paracoccaceae. The record is from RNAcentral.